Molecule: ribosomal RNA, 247 nt
Filed under: uncultured Actinomycetes bacterium
Lineage: Bacteria; Bacillati; Actinomycetota; Actinomycetes
Description: uncultured actinobacterium partial 16S ribosomal RNA
Rfam family: Bacterial small subunit ribosomal RNA
Source: RNAcentral
GACGAACGCUGGCGGCGCGCUUAGCACAUGCAAGUCGAGCGGUAAGGCCCUUUCGGGGGUACACGAGCGGCGAACGGGUGAGUAACACGUGGGUGACCUGCCCUCAGCUCUGGGAUAAGCCUGGGAAACCGGGUCUAAUACUGGAUAUGACUCCAUGACGCAUGUUGUGGGGUGGAAAGCCUUGUGCGGCUGAGGAUGGGCCCGCGGCCUAUCAGCUUGUUGGUGGGGUGAUGGCCUACCAAGGCGA